UCUUCCCUCUUUCUUCGUGCCUAAUACAUGCAAGUCGAGCGAACAGACGAGGAGCUUGCUCCUCUGACGUUAGCGGCGGACGGGUGAGUAACACGUGGAUAACCUACCUAUAAGACUGGGAUAACUUCGGGAAACCGGAGCUAAUACCGGAUAAUAUAUUGAACCGCAUGGUUCAAUAGUGAAAGACGGUUUUGCUGUCACUUAUAGAUGGAUCCGCGCUGCAUUAGCUAGUUGGUAAGGUAACGGCUUACCAAGGCAACGAUGCGUAGCCGACCUGAGAGGGUGAUAGGCCACACAGGAACUUAGACACGGGCCAGACUCCUAAGGGAGGGAGAAAGGGGGAAUCUUCCGCGAAGGGGGGAAGCCUUGAGGAGCAACGCCGCGUGAGGUAUUAAGGUCUUUGGAUCGUAAAACUGUUGUUUUAGGGAAAAAAAUAUUGUUAAGUAAAUGUCCACAGCUUGGCGGGGACCAAUAAGAAAACCACGGCUAAAUACGGG
Molecule: ribosomal RNA, 497 nt
Filed under: uncultured bacterium
Lineage: Bacteria
Description: partial 16S ribosomal RNA
Rfam family: Bacterial small subunit ribosomal RNA
Source: RNAcentral